This 470-nucleotide ribosomal RNA is filed under the name Veillonella parvula. RNAcentral describes it as "bacterial SSU rRNA". It matches the Rfam family "Bacterial small subunit ribosomal RNA", at positions 28 to 468 of the family's 1533-position model. The record is from RNAcentral. Lineage: Bacteria; Bacillati; Bacillota; Negativicutes; Veillonellales; Veillonellaceae.
GACGAACGCUGGCGGCGUGCUUAACACAUGCAAGUCGAACGAAGAGCGAUGGAAGCUUGCUUCUAUCAAUCUUAGUGGCGAACGGGUGAGUAACGCGUAAUCAACCUGCCCUACAGAGGGGGACAACAGUUGGAAACGACUGCUAAUACCGCAUACGAUCUAACCUCGGCAUCGAGGAAAGAUGAAAGGUGGCCUCUAUGUAUAAGCUAUCACUGAAGGAGGGGAUUGCGUCUGAUUAGCUAGUUGGAGGGGUAACGGCCCACCAAGGCGAUGAUCAGUAGCCGGUCUGAGAGGAUGAACGGCCACAUUGGGACUGAGACACGGCCCAGACUCCUACGGGAGGCAGCAGUGGGGAAUCUUCCGCAAUGGACGAAAGUCUGACGGAGCAACGCCGCGUGAGUGAUGACGGCCUUCGGGUUGUAAAGCUCUGUUAAUCGGGACGAAAGGCCUUCUUGCGAAUAGUAGAAGGA